RNAcentral lists this ribosomal RNA (255 nucleotides) under uncultured bacterium. RNAcentral's name for it is "partial 16S ribosomal RNA". It matches the Rfam family "Bacterial small subunit ribosomal RNA", at positions 524 to 776 of the family's 1533-position model. The record is from RNAcentral.
UACGAAGGGGGCUAGCGUUGCUCGGAAUCACUGGGCGUAAAGGGUGCGUAGGCGGGUCUUUAAGUCAGGGGUGAAAUCCUGGAGCUCAACUCCAGAACUGCCUUUGAUACUGAGGAUCUUGAGUUCGGGAGAGGUGAGUGGAACUGCGAGUGUAGAGGUGAAAUUCGUAGAUAUUCGCAAGAACACCAGUGGCGGAAGGCGGCUCACUGGCCCGAUACUGACGGCUGAGGCACGAAAGCGUGGGGAGCAAACAGG